This is a long non-coding RNA of Tachysurus fulvidraco (yellow catfish), 1137 nucleotides long. RefSeq lists it as uncharacterized. Lineage: Eukaryota; Metazoa; Chordata; Actinopteri; Siluriformes; Bagridae. The transcript is spliced from 3 exons. The record is from RefSeq and is a predicted model, not a curated record.
UGCUCAUUAUUGUUCCUAAAUUUAUUCUGUUAUUAGAUUUUUUUUUUACUUUCUUUUAUUUUCUACUUUUAUUUUUUACUUUUUUUUUUACUGAAUGAAGUGGCAGUUUAAUCAUUUGCUCCACAAUAGUCUUAGCAAUCCCUUGAUGAGACCUAAUGAUCAAUAUAUCACUCAACCCUAACAGAUUUAUGAUUUUCUGCAGAUUUGGGUCAAGACACCUCAUGUGACAUCACAACACACAUUGGGCCAUUGAUUCGAACGAAACAGAUGUCCACAGCAUUGAACUCUUAGGUACAGAUACAUACAGCGGCAUGGAGCCCCAACACUAGUAGACAUCUACUGUACACAACAGUCCCAGUGGGCUGUAAGAACAUCAGGUCUGUGUAGAUACAUUGCACUCUGAUUUCUGAAAAUUGUGCUGAGAUUCCAAACACAGAAAAGGGAUUUUAAAUUAUUUCACCAGUUUGUAAAUUUUCACACAAUUGGGUGAAUUUCUAAAAAUUGCCAUGUGUUCAAAGUGUUCAUGUUGUAGAGUGAUCUAAGAUAUUGUUCACUUGUAAAAACAAAUAUACCAGGAAGAGCCAAGAAAGGGGUUUUCACAGCGCUGCCAUUUAUAGCCAUUUUCAGUUCCCCAGUAAACAUUUCUGUACCUUUUAUUUCUUGCUUUAUUAAACACCUAAUUUUUUAUAGUCUAAAGAACCUUUGAUUCCUGCAAAGAACUUGCGAUGGAAAGGUUCCGAUGAUGUUAAAGGUUCUUCAUAGAUCCUGACAAAGAACCAUAUAAGACCCUUUAUUUUUAAACAGAGUGUGAUUCACUGAGGAUAAGUUCACUGUGCGUGACAUGCGUCGACUUAAUCCACGCUGAAUGACUUGUUCAUUCAUAUUUAUUUACAUUUUCAUCGAUGACGUUCAGAAGAUCAGCUUAUCCUGGGCGACUUACAAAAGUCUUAUGAAGUCUCUAAUAAUAAAUACAUUUUGAUACUGGUUCCUCUCAAGCUGUUGGGGAGCUAAUAUAGCAAGAAAAGCAUGCACAGAAAACACUUACUUGCUUGCUUUUUAUUUCGAGACGAGGUCAUAUUUAUGACUAUUACACGAGUCCAAGAUUUAUUUUGUAAUAAAUGUACCACCAUUUUUCAC